RNAcentral lists this ribosomal RNA (1134 nucleotides) under Vibrio sp. Its description in RNAcentral is "bacterial SSU rRNA". It matches the Rfam family "Bacterial small subunit ribosomal RNA", at positions 356 to 1491 of the family's 1533-position model. Lineage: Bacteria; Pseudomonadati; Pseudomonadota; Gammaproteobacteria; Vibrionales; Vibrionaceae. The record is from RNAcentral.
GGGAGGUAUUGCCAUGGGCGCAGCCUGAUGCAGCCAUGCCGCGUGUGUGAAGAAGGCCUUCGGGUUGUAAAGCACUUUCAGUCGUGAGGAAGGUAGUGUAGUUAAUAGCUGCAUUAUUUGACGUUAGCGACAGAAGAAGCACCGGCUAACUCCGUGCCAGCAGCCGCGGUAAUACGGAGGGUGCGAGCGUUAAUCGGAAUUACUGGGCGUAAAGCGCAUGCAGGUGGUUUGUUAAGUCAGAUGUGAAAGCCCGGGGCUCAACCUCGGAAUAGCAUUUGAAACUGGCAGACUAGAGUACUGUAGAGGGGGGUAGAAUUUCAGGUGUAGCGGUGAAAUGCGUAGAGAUCUGAAGGAAUACCGGUGGCGAAGGCGGCCCCCUGGACAGAUACUGACACUCAGAUGCGAAAGCGUGGGGAGCAAACAGGAUUAGAUACCCUGGUAGUCCACGCCGUAAACGAUGUCUACUUGGAGGUUGUGGCCUUGAGCCGUGGCUUUCGGAGCUAACGCGUUAAGUAGACCGCCUGGGGAGUACGGUCGCAAGAUUAAAACUCAAAUGAAUUGACGGGGGCCCGCACAAGCGGUGGAGCAUGUGGUUUAAUUCGAUGCAACGCGAAGAACCUUACCUACUCUUGACAUCCAGAGAACUUUCCAGAGAUGGAUUGGUGCCUUCGGGAACUCUGAGACAGGUGCUGCAUGGCUGUCGUCAGCUCGUGUUGUGAAAUGUUGGGUUAAGUCCCGCAACGAGCGCAACCCUUAUCCUUGUUUGCCAGCGAGUAAUGUCGGGAACUCCAGGGAGACUGCCGGUGAUAAACCGGAGGAAGGUGGGGACGACGUCAAGUCAUCAUGGCCCUUACGAGUAGGGCUACACACGUGCUACAAUGGCGCAUACAGAGGGCGGCCAACUUGCGAAAGUGAGCGAAUCCCAAAAAGUGCGUCGUAGUCCGGAUUGGAGUCUGCAACUCGACUCCAUGAAGUCGGAAUCGCUAGUAAUCGUGGAUCAGAUGCCACGGUGAUACGUUCCCGGGCCUUGUACACACCGCUCGUCACACCAUGGGAGUGGGCUGCAAAAGAGUAGUAGUUUAACCUUCGGGGGACGCUUACCACUUUGUGGUCAUGACUGGGGGUGAGUCACCA